RNAcentral lists this ribosomal RNA (253 nucleotides) under uncultured bacterium. Its description in RNAcentral is "partial 16S ribosomal RNA". It matches the Rfam family "Bacterial small subunit ribosomal RNA", at positions 524 to 776 of the family's 1533-position model. The record is from RNAcentral.
UACGGGGGGGGCAAGCGUUGUUCGGAAUUACUGGGCGUAAAGGGCUCGUAGGCGGCCAACUAAGUCAUACGUGAAAUCCCCCGGCUUAACCGGGGAACUGCGUCUGAUACUGGAUGGCUUGAGUUCGGGAGAGGGAUGCGGAAUUCCAGGUGUAGCGGUGAAAUGCGUAGAUAUCUGGAGGAACACCGGUGGCGAAGGCGGCAUCCUGGACCGAUACUGACGCUGAGGAGCGAAAGCGUGGGGAGCGAACAGG